This is a long non-coding RNA of Panicum virgatum (switchgrass), 2881 nucleotides long. RefSeq lists it as uncharacterized. The record is from RefSeq and is a predicted model, not a curated record. The transcript has 3 exons. NCBI's taxonomy places the organism in Eukaryota, Viridiplantae, Streptophyta, Magnoliopsida, Poales, Poaceae.
GUCGUCGCCGCGUUCCGGAAGAGGAAGGUGGACGUGCCGGAGAUGCCGGCUUGCUCUACCACAACAAGGAGCUCGACGCCCCCAUCGCCGGGGGGCCGCCGAGCGUGCUGCGGGCGAGCGGGUUCGGGUGCUGCUGAUGGCCCCGCCCCUCGCUAGGCCAUGCCGGCCAUACUGCUCUCAUACUCCGAGGUACGCAAUAGCAUGCACUCCACCUGUUUGCUCAAGUGCCUAUGGGAGAUGGAAAUCAGUUUGGCCUAGGAGUAGCAUGCUGUAGGAUCCAUGGAUCAAGGUUAGACAUCUCUUUGGAUUAUCACUGGCUGAUCCAGUAGGUGCAUACUGAUCUAUCCAUGCUAAUUGAAAGUGUAGUGAAUGGUGAUUAGCACAUGUGUAGUACUCCAAUAUAUACUGAACAUUCCAGUUGACCAUUUCUCAAUGAUGAGAAGCUGAAAUUAACUGCAACAAGGUGGACGGAAGGCGAUCAUGAUGGAAGUAAUAAUUUGAUUAAACAGUGGUUUUUAGUGUAUGGGGUCCCAAGAAAAUACAGAAGUUCGGUGGAGUUAUAUCAAGUUGCUUCCGCGUUUGGAAUGUUGAUUGAUGUGGACGAGGAAAGUUUCAAAGUUGGGGAUAAGGAGCCUAUCAGUCUGAAGAUAGCAUUAACAAAUAUUGACGGUGCUCCAUUCUCCUAUCACUACGUGGUUGGAUGGCCUUCCAGAAUGGUCAUGUUAACAGUACAAGCAAAAAUAGAUUCAGAGAACAGCAGCCAUAGCACAAGGGCGGUAAAUUCAGCAGGCAACCACAUGUUGGACUUCGGAGAUUCCUCAGAUAAGGAGCAUACAAAGGAACUUAAAGCAGCACAAAGUACACUGCUGGAAGAUCCGGCGUGUAUUGAACAGUCAAGAUUACAUGAUGGCAAGACCAAAGAAAACAAAAUAACUACUCCAGCAGCCACAGUAAACAACUCGAAGGAAACAACAAUACAAAGUUCAAAACCUGAAGGGGUGCAAUCGAUAUGUCUAAAGUCUAAACUCAACAAGAAUGAUUGGAGAAGACCGUUUCAAAGGUAUAUUAAACCCUCCUAUCAAGCAUGUAUACACAAGGAGAAGUAAGAAGCUGCAAGUUACUGAAGCAAUAAACAAAAGCUCAUUGAAUUAACUGGAUUAAGGAAUGAGUCCAGAGAGCAGUAAUGCUGCAAGGAUUGGGGCUUCAGAAAUGGAAUGCAAGAUGGAACUGAAGAUGGAAGAAAUGACUCUAAUGGGAGUAAGAAAAAUGUCUGAAGAGGUUGGAGCAUGCAGGGAGAAGGAAGACAAUAGUGUCAUUCUACCCGCCACUACAAUCAACUUUAAGGAGAAGAAAAUAUCAGAAGACAGUUCAAAAAUUGAGAUAGCGCAAUUAGUCACUACUACGCACAUAAAGUGGAAGACAAUAGUGCCAUUCUACCCGCCACUACAAUCAACUCUAAGGAGAAGAAAAUAUCGGAAGACAGUUCAAAAAUUGAGACAGCGCAAUUAGUCACUACUACGCACAUAAAGGUUUUACAUAUACACGUGUCUUAUGACUCAUCUAUUCUGGUAGAAAAUGACAUUCCCUUACUUCAUAUGGGGAUCGGUAUGUUGUAUUUUGUAGAGCAUUGCCCCUUGUCAUCUUUAUGAUCUAAAUAAAAUAAUACGAAAUUACCAUGUAUUGUUAUUUACUUUGUCAUCUAAGAAUUUAAGAGACAUGGAUAUUAGAUUAAUGAAUAUAGUUUUUUUUACAAUUAAUAAAUAUACACUUUUCAGAACUAAAAGCAAUCAAAAUGCCAGCCAUAUGCUUUCUAAUGAUCGUCUAUUCACAAAAGGGCAUUGUUUGUGCGCCUUCGGAGUUCGGACCACAUGUACAAACUCUGCUUCUUAUUAGUUAAUGCUGGAAUCAUUCCGGAUUUCUUUUCAUAAAAAAUGUAGAGACUAAAGCUUUACUUAAGGUAAAUGAUUGUGAAGUUUUUGUUAUCACAAAAUAAAUUUUCUUUUCUGGACAUCAAGCUCCAAAUUUAGUUUUAAUUUCAUUCUCCAGUUUUGAGUAAUCACAAGCAUUGGUACAAUAAUAUUGGGCGUCAUUUUUGCUAAAAAAACUAAUUUUGACCACAGUAGUCUGCUAAAAAUUCCAUCAUCACUUGCAUUAAUGUAACCAUUGACCUUUUACGUGCUUUGGCGGGUUAGCUAACCAGCCCCUUCACAACUUAGAAGGUGUUUCAUUGUCAUGAAAGUAGCCACUCCUAUGUCCAACAUUUCACUUGUAUCUUCAACCUCUGUAUCUACACAAAGAUAAAUUGUGAAAGGAAGACAUUUUAGAAGUCUUUCUAAAGAAAAAGUGAAAAGCAAGUUUCAAGAGUUCAAAAUGUCAGCUGCGGAGCUGCAGUAUGUACCCCCAAUAUUUGAUUCCUCGCAUUCUAUAGCUUUUUCAGCCCUAAGCCUUUGUGAUUCCUGCUAUGAUUUUUUUGAUUGCGACCUUUGUCAGAUCAGUUCCAAAAUACCAUGUACAGUUUUGAGGUGAGAGCAUCAUGAUCCAAGGUGUGCGGAUAGUAGUCACUCUAUUAAUACUAUAUUUAUUAUAUAGUAACAGCUAUUAUUAUUUUCAUCCUUCUCCAGUGCAACUUCUUCCGAGGAUGAUGAGUUUUGUCACAUAUAAGGAUGCAGCUUUGUGAUGCUACCUGUCUUUGGCUUCAGAGGAGAGAUUUAUCAGAAAAAGAUAUUGCACAUGUAUUACUUAGUUUUGCUCUAAUAUUGCUAUGGUAGUCUACAUAAAUUGGCAGUGACACACACUGAUAAUUCACUAAAUUUGUCCUCGGUUCAACUAUUGUUUGCUGAUAAUGCCAUAAUGCAAAAUGAAGUGUUGACUGGGUAAGUAA